GCCUUUGUGGCUCAGUGGUAGAGCGUCUCACUCGUAUUUUCAAUAAUGCAUAUGAGAAGGUCCGCGGUUCGAUCCCGCGUGGAGGCA
Monascus purpureus is the source of this 87-nucleotide non-coding RNA. NCBI's taxonomy places the organism in Eukaryota, Fungi, Ascomycota, Eurotiomycetes, Eurotiales, Aspergillaceae. The record is from the annotation of a GenBank genome assembly.